Molecule: RNA transcript, 1139 nt
Organism: Arvicanthis niloticus (Nile rat)
Lineage: Eukaryota; Metazoa; Chordata; Mammalia; Rodentia; Muridae
Gene name: H-2 class I histocompatibility antigen, L-D alpha chain-like
Source: RefSeq, a predicted model, not a curated record
AUGGGGGCAAUGGCUCAGGGCACUCUGCUCCUGCUGCUGGUGGCUGCCCUGGCCCCAACUCAGACCUGCGCAGGCUCACACUCCCUGCGGUAUUUCCACACCGCCGUGUCACGGCCCGGCCUCGGGAAACCCCGGUUCAUCUCUGUCGGCUACGUGGACGACACGGAGUUCGUGCGCUUUGACAGCGAUGAGGAGAAUCCGAGAUAUGAACCGCGCGCGCCGUGGAUGGAACAGGUGGGGCCGGAGUAUUGGGAGGAGCAGACACAGAUCGCGAAGAGUAAUGAGCAGAUUUACCAAGUGAACCUGAGGACCCUGCUCCGCUACUACAACCAGAGCGAGGACGGUUCUCAUACGCUCCAGAGGAUGACUGGCUGUGACAUGGGGUCCGACGGGAGCCUCCUCCGCGGGUACACGCAGUUCGCCUACGAUGGCCAUGAUUAUAUCGCCCUGAAUGAAGACCUGGAAACCUGGACAGCGGCGGACAUGGCGGCGCAGAUCACCCGACGCAAGUGGGAGCAGGCUGGUGAUGCAGAGAGACACAGGGCCUACCUGGAGGGCACGUGCGUGGUGUGGCUCCACAGAUACCUGGAGCUCGGGAAGGAGACGCUGCUGCGCACAGAUCCCCCAAAGGCACAUGUGACCCAUCACCCCAGUUCCGAAGGUGAUGUCACCCUGAGGUGCUGGGCCAUGGGCUUCUACCCUGCUGACAUCACUCUGACCUGGCAGUUGAAUGGGGAGGACCUGACCCAGGACAUGGAGCUUGUGGAGACCAGGCCUGCAGGGGAUGGAACCUUCCAGAAGUGGGCAUCUGUGGUGGUGCCUCUUGGGAAGGAGCAGAAUUACACUUGCCAUGUGCAACAUGAGGGGCUGCCUGAGCCUCUCACCCUGAAAUGGGAGCCUCCUCCACCACAGACUCCAACAUGGGGAUCACUGUUGUCCUGGUUGUCCUUGGAACUAUGGCCAUCAUUGGAGCUGUGGUGGCUUUUGUGAUAAAAAGGAGGAGAAACAGAGCCUGAAGACAGCAGCCUGGAGUGGACUGAGUGACAGACUGUGUUCAGGUCUCUCCUGUGACAUCCAGAGCCCUCAGUUUUCUUUAGACAACAGUGUCUGAUGUUCCCUGUGAGCUUAUGGGCUCAAUG